CGUGCUUAACACAUGCAAGUCGAACGAUGAAGGAAGAAGCUUGCUUCUUCUGGAUUAGUGGCGAACGGGUGAGUAACACGUGAGCAAUCUGCCCUUGACUCUGGGAUAAGCGUUGGAAACGACGUCUAAUACCGGAUACGACCCUCGGAGGCAUCUCCUGGGGGUGGAAAGAAUUUUGGUCAAGGAUGAGCUCGCGGCCUAUCAGCUAGUUGGUGAGGUAAUGGCUCACCAAGGCGACGACGGGUAGCCGGCCUGAGAGGGUGACCGGCCACACUGGGACUGAGACACGGCCCAGACUCCUACGGGAGGCAGCAGUGGGGAAUAUUGCACAAUGGGCGAAAGCCUGAUGCAGCAACGCCGCGUGAGGGAUGACGGCCUUCGGGUUGUAAACCUCUUUUAGUAGGGAAGAAGCGAAAGUGACGGUACCUGCAGAAAAAGCACCGGCUAACUACGUGCCAGCAGCCGCGGUAAUACGUAGGGUGCAAGCGUUGUCCGGAAUUAUUGGGCGUAAAGAGCUCGUAGGCGGUUUGUCGCGUCUGCUGUGAAAUCUGGGGGCUCAACCCCCAGCCUGCAGUGGGUACGGGCAGACUAGAGUGCGGUAGGGGAGAUUGGAAUUCCUGGUGUAGCGGUGGAAUGCGCAGAUAUCAGGAGGAACACCGAUGGCGAAGGCAGAUCUCUGGGCCGUAACUGACGCUGAGGAGCGAAAGCAUGGGGAGCGAACAGGAUUAGAUACCCUGGUAGUCCAUGCCGUAAACGUUGGGAACUAGAUGUG
This 772-nucleotide ribosomal RNA is filed under the name Microbacteriaceae bacterium. Its description in RNAcentral is "bacterial SSU rRNA". It matches the Rfam family "Bacterial small subunit ribosomal RNA", at positions 43 to 824 of the family's 1533-position model. Lineage: Bacteria; Bacillati; Actinomycetota; Actinomycetes; Micrococcales; Microbacteriaceae. The record is from RNAcentral.